RNAcentral lists this ribosomal RNA (700 nucleotides) under uncultured beta proteobacterium. RNAcentral describes it as "bacterial SSU rRNA". It matches the Rfam family "Bacterial small subunit ribosomal RNA", at positions 84 to 780 of the family's 1533-position model. The record is from RNAcentral. Lineage: Bacteria; Pseudomonadati; Pseudomonadota; Betaproteobacteria.
ACCCCUCGAGAGUGGCGAACGGGUGAGUAAUAUAUCGGAACGUGCCCAGUCGUGGGGGAUAACGUAGCGAAAGUUACGCUAAUACCGCAUACGAUCUACGGAUGAAAGCGGGGGAUCGCAAGACCUCGCGCGAUUGGAGCGGCCGAUAUCAGAUUAGGUAGUUGGUGGGGUAAAGGCUCACCAAGCCAACGAUCUGUAGCUGGUCUGAGAGGACGACCAGCCACACUGGAACUGAGACACGGUCCAGACUCCUACGGGAGGCAGCAGUGGGGAAUUUUGGACAAUGGACGCAAGUCUGAUCCAGCCAUUCCGCGUGCAGGAUGAAGGCCCUCGGGUUGUAAACUGCUUUUGUACGGAACGAAAAGGUUUCUAUUAAUACUAGGAGCUCAUGACGGUACCGUAAGAAUAAGCACCGGCUAACUACGUGCCAGCAGCCGCGGUAAUACGUAGGGUGCAAGCGUUAAUCGGAAUUACUGGGCGUAAAGCGUGCGCAGGCGGUUAUAUAAGACAGAUGUGAAAUCCCCGGGCUCAACCUGGGAACUGCAUUUGUGACUGUAUAGCUAGAGUACGGUAGAGGGGGAUGGAAUUCCGCGUGUAGCAGUGAAAUGCGUAGAUAUGCGGAGGAACACCGAUGGCGAAGGCAAUCCCCUGGACCUGUACUGACGCUCAUGCACGAAAGCGUGGGGAGCAAACAGGAUUA